CUGCGAAGGUGUCUCGUAAGGGAUGCUGGAGGUAUCAGAAGUGCGAAUGCUGACAUGAGUAGCGAUAAAGGGAGUGAAAAGCUCCCUCGCCGAAAACCCAAGGUUUCCUGCGCAACGUUCAUCGGCGCAGGGUGAGUCGGCCCCUAAGGCGAGGCAGAAAUGCGUAGUCGAUGGGAAACAGGUCAAUAUUCCUGUACCACUCUUUAAUGCGAUGGGGGGACGGAGAAGGUUAGAUCAGCCGGGUGUUGGACGUCCCGGUUUAAGCGUGUAGUCGUGCCUGGUAGGCAAAUCCGCCGGGCUUAGACGAGGCGUGAUGACGAGGGCUCAUUGAGCCUGAAGUGAUUAAUACCAUGCUUCCAGGAAAAGCCUCUAAGCUUCAGUUAAAGAGUGACCGUACCGCAAACCGACACAGGUGGGUAGGUAGAAAAUACCAAGGCGCUUGAGAGAACUCAGGAGAAGGAACUCGGCAAAUUGACACCGUAACUUCGGGAGAAGGUGUGCCUCUUGUAUGUGAAGCCCCUGCGGGCGGAGCAGAAGGAGGUCUCAGAGAAUCGGUGGCUGCGACUGUUUAUUAAAAACACAGCACUCUGCAAACACGAAAGUGGACGUAUAGGGUGUGACGCCUGCCCGGUGCCGGAAGGUUAAGUGAUGGGG
RNAcentral lists this ribosomal RNA (654 nucleotides) under Candidatus Woesebacteria bacterium. RNAcentral describes it as "partial 23S ribosomal RNA". It matches the Rfam family "Bacterial large subunit ribosomal RNA", at positions 1248 to 1889 of the family's 2925-position model. Lineage: Bacteria; Candidatus Woeseibacteriota. The record is from RNAcentral.